AUUGAACGCUGGCGGCAUGCUUUACACAUGCAAGUCGAACGGCAGCGCGGGCUUCGGCCUGGCUGCGAGUGGCGAACGGGUGAGUAAUUCAUCGGAACGUGCCCAGUAGUUGUGGCUAGCCCGGCGACAUCCGGAUUAAUACCGCAUACGACCUGACGGUGAACGCGGGGGACCGAAAGGCCUUGCGCUAUUGGAGCGGCCGAUGUCGGAUUAGCUAGUUGGUGGGGCAAAGGCUUACCAAGGCGACGAUCCGUAGCUGGUCUGAGAGGACGAACAGCCACACUGGGACUGAGACACGGCCCAGACUCCUACGGGAGGCAGCAGUGGGGAAUAUUGGACAAUGGGGGCAACCCUGAUCCAGCCAUGCCGCGUGCGGGAAGAAGGCCUUCGGGUUGUAAACCGCUUUUGUUCGGGAAGAAAUCCUGUGGGCUAAUACCCCGGGGGGAUGACGGUACCGGAAGAAUAAGCACCGGCUAACUACGUG
RNAcentral lists this ribosomal RNA (484 nucleotides) under uncultured bacterium. RNAcentral's name for it is "partial 16S ribosomal RNA". It matches the Rfam family "Bacterial small subunit ribosomal RNA", at positions 28 to 507 of the family's 1533-position model. The record is from RNAcentral.